This 247-nucleotide ribosomal RNA is filed under the name uncultured bacterium. RNAcentral's name for it is "partial 16S ribosomal RNA". It matches the Rfam family "Bacterial small subunit ribosomal RNA", at positions 523 to 769 of the family's 1533-position model. The record is from RNAcentral.
AUACGUAGGUGGCAAGCGUUGUCCGGAUUUAUUGGGCGUAAAGCGAGUGCAGGCGGUCUUUUAAGUCUGAUGUGAAAGCCCUCGGCUUAACCGAAGAAGGGCAUCGGAAACUGGGAGACUUGAGUGCAGAAGAGGAGAGUGGAACUCCAUGUGUAGCGGUGAAAUGCGUAGAUAUAUGGAAGAACACCAGUGGCGAAGGCAGCUCUCUGGUCUGUAACUGACGCUGAGGCUCGAAAGCGUGGGUGGC